RNAcentral lists this long non-coding RNA (540 nucleotides) under Anolis carolinensis (green anole). RNAcentral describes it as "lncRNA (ENSACAG00000044117.1)". Lineage: Eukaryota; Metazoa; Chordata; Lepidosauria; Squamata; Anolidae. The record is from RNAcentral.
AAACAGCCAUGGUAGAAGUAUCCAUUCUGAAUGGAUGUGUUCCAAAUUGAGCAGGAUUAAAGCCACAUUCACACAGGGUGGAAUGAGCAAAUGAUCCACAAGAAAAAGACAAGACGGAGCAAGCAGAGCCGGAGUGCGGGACUGCGACAACCUUUCCCUGGUGUAAUGUCAUUGUUGGCGAUCACAUUGGCAGAAUCCUCCAGCUCAGUGAAGACAAAAAGUGUCGCUCUUCUUCUUGUUCUUUCAACUGCCAGUGGCAUUCAAAGUGACCUUGCCUUGUAAAUAUUGCUUCAUCCUUUUGUGGCCAAGGAAAGAGCUUGAGGUGAAAGAGACCACAAGGCAUCUUCAGAUUGCUGUGUCUACUGAUUCUAUAUCUUGCAAUGCUCAGCCAUUCAUCUGAUGAAUAUUUUUCCUUAAUUUCUCACAAAUAAAGAGGUAUGUGUUUUUCUUUGUCUUUUGCCCAAAACCAAAUAUUGCAUUCCAGUGAUUUCUUGAAAUUGUAAUCGUAGUAUGUGACUGUAGAAUGUUUUUAAAAUACCC